UGUUUUGGAUCAAAGAAAACUUUGAUUAUUUGUCUAUCUACACCUUCCAAAUUGAUUAAUUAAUGCGUGCACGCUUUCCCUAGAAGUAAUUCACACCGGAGACAAAGUUUCUGAUCAGUGAAAAACCCAGGAAUGCUUUAUUCCCCGGAGUGGGGGCUCCUUCUUAAAGCAAAAAUACGUCACAGUUUAAACAUACAGUAUACAUUCACCAAUUGGUUAACAGAGAAAGGGGGCUCUUGUUUAAACCUCCCUACAGAAUGUAGUGUCAUCAUUACAGACUUUUGGAUACACGAUGGGAGGGGGAGUGAGUGGUAUCUAUCAGUUCUAAACCAAUGAUCCUCCAUUUAGCUAUACGUGGCAUAUAGCUGUUUAACUGGCACAAAGGUAGUGGGGGAGGAGUUAGUAAAGGGAGCUGUUAACACAGGAAUUUUGUUUACACAAGGUUUGCUUGAUUUGAAGGGGGAUGCUUAUCAGGAUGAAGAAUUUACAUAGUAAACAGCAACUGAACACAUUGUAGGGGGCGAAGGGAAUAUUUACUCUAGCAGCCAGUUUUAACAUAGUGAACACAGAAUAAAUAGACAUUAGUAAAUAGCCAUUUUAUUUUAAUUCAUCUGUCCAUAACAGUCCCCCCUUAAAAUGGCAAUUUUUACUAAAACUACUAUCUCUCAUUCUAAUACUGUCCCUAUAGAAAAAUAACAAAAGGCUAUCUUGCACAUCUGUCUGAACAGG
Non-coding RNA from Pelobates cultripes (western spadefoot toad), 729 nucleotides. The record is from the annotation of a GenBank genome assembly. Lineage: Eukaryota; Metazoa; Chordata; Amphibia; Anura; Pelobatidae.